ACACACGGCUGGAGAACAUGACAUGGAGGAUCUGGAUCCUGGCAAAUAAGAAGGAGAUGAGCUCUUUCUCUUGGAUCGUAACCUCCUUGUAUGAGAUUUUAUUGGGUUUGGUUUGUGUGAAUUAUGUACGUCAAUGCACAGGAAGGAUUUCAAGCCCAUGAUUUGUGGUUCUUGUUCUUUCCAAAUUGCCAUGAUUUUAACAAAAAAAUUGGUGUAGAUUCUAAUUUCUGUUGUAAGUGCAUGCCAUUUUUGGUUUUACAUGUUUAUUUAUAGCUUACAUCUCUUACUGAAAUUUGCAGGAUGAGAACUGAAGCAUGGAUCUGUACUAUGCUAUCUGGAUUUGUGACCUUAUUCAUGGAAACAGUGAAAAUAGCGAGUACCGGUCAUUAUUUGGUCCCAGUAUGCACAACUUAAUUUAAUUUUCAUUUUGCAAAUUCAAAGGUGGCUGAGGACUGUGAUUUUGUGGACCUACCAGUUCCUAGGAAAUUAAGAUCAUGUACUGAUUGCUGUCUCAUAAAACUAGGAACAUGGACAACUUUGUCCCUUUCUCUUUCCAUCUUUACCUAUUGAUUUGCUGAUUGCAUAGGAGCAUGUGUGGAAAAUGGUUUUCAAAUUUGAUGGCUAACCAAAAAUAUAUUUGUGUGUUUUACAAACUAAUAUACUAAUAUUUUUUAACAACAAAUCUAACUUAACCUGUCUCUGAAUGUAUUAUUGAUGUUAGUGUUUC
Molecule: long non-coding RNA, 727 nt
Filed under: Triticum aestivum (bread wheat)
Lineage: Eukaryota; Viridiplantae; Streptophyta; Magnoliopsida; Poales; Poaceae
Description: long non-coding RNA (TAES_LNC002382)
Source: RNAcentral